UGUCUCUUCAGCCAAGGAAGAUCAAUGUUCAUCAAGUGAUUUGCAGGUGUGCCAGCCACAGUCAGCCAAACCACAGUGCUCUGGGAUUCAAACAGCACUAAGGAGCCAACCUGCAGGGUGCCACAGCAUCUGCAGCUGCCUCAGUCUGGGAGAAGAAAUUCUGCAAAUCCACUCUGAACUCAGGAAAGGGAGGUUCUACCAAGCCUUCUGAGCUGAGGGAAAAUACAAAAGGCUCCCCUUUGCAAUUGUGCCUGAUCGAGCAUUACCAGGAAAUGCAGAAAUGUGGAGCCAGACUGGUACAGUACUAGCUAAGCUUUUUACAGACUGAAGAUCUUUCUGCAAGUGGGUCUCAGCACCAUCAGCUGGUACUGCUUAAAGAGAUACGAUGGCUUUUCUCUGGGAAUGGUGAGUGCAUUCACCAAAAAGCACCACAGAGGAACUGGAGCCUUGGCAGGACCAGGAAGGUGCCCAGAGCAGCUCUGCAAGGAAAGUGAGUGCCUUCACUCCUCUGUCAUCACCAGUCCCUGAGAGCCAUCACCACCCACCAAGAGUUCCUUGAGAUAAGGCUGAGCCAGCUGGGAGAAUAAAGCCUUUGAUAUUC
Passer montanus (Eurasian tree sparrow) is the source of this 601-nucleotide long non-coding RNA. RefSeq lists it as uncharacterized. Lineage: Eukaryota; Metazoa; Chordata; Aves; Passeriformes; Passeridae. The record is from RefSeq and is a predicted model, not a curated record. The transcript has 5 exons.